Molecule: ribosomal RNA, 655 nt
Filed under: Paenibacillus sp. AT-BI-44
Lineage: Bacteria; Bacillati; Bacillota; Bacilli; Caryophanales; Paenibacillaceae
Description: bacterial SSU rRNA
Rfam family: Bacterial small subunit ribosomal RNA
Source: RNAcentral
ACGACUCGUGCUUGUCGCAGCGGCACUUGAUGGAGUGCUUGCACUCCUAGCAUGGUUAGCGGCGGACGGGUGAGUAACACGUAGGCAACCUGCCCUCAAGACUGGGAUAACUACCGGAAACGGUAGCUAAUACCGGAUAAUUUAUUUUGCAGCAUUGUGAAAUAAUGAAAGGCGGAGCAAUCUGUCACUUGAGGAUGGGCCUGCGGCGCAUUAGCUAGUUGGUGGGGUAACGGCCCACCAAGGCGACGAUGCGUAGCCGACCUGAGAGGGUGAACGGCCACACUGGGACUGAGACACGGCCCAGACUCCUACGGGAGGCAGCAGUAGGGAAUCUUCCGCAAUGGGCGAAAGCCUGACGGAGCAACGCCGCGUGAGUGAUGAAGGUUUUCGGAUCGUAAAGCUCUGUUGCCAAGGAAGAACGUCUUCUAGAGUAACUGCUAGGAGAGUGACGGUACUUGAGAAGAAAGCCCCGGCUAACUACGUGCCAGCAGCCGCGGUAAUACGUAGGGGGCAAGCGUUGUCCGGAAUUAUUGGGCGUAAAGCGCGCGCAGGCGGUUCUUUAAGUCUGGUGUUUAAACCCGAGGCUCAACUUCGGGUCGCACCGGAAACUGUGAAACUUGACUGCAGAAGACGAGAUGAUCCACGUGUAGCGGUG